CCCCCAACACUGGGACUGAGAACUGCCCAGACUCCUACGGGAGGCUGCAGUCGAGAAUCUUUCGCAAUGGGCGAAAGCCUGACGAAGCGACGCCGUGUGAGCGAUGAAGGCCUUCGGGUUGUAAAGCUCUUUCGCCUGGGAACAAGAGAGGUUGGCUAAUAUCCAGCCAAUUUGAGGGUACCAGGGAAAGAAGCACCGGCUAACUCCCAU
This 210-nucleotide ribosomal RNA is filed under the name uncultured Chlamydiales bacterium. Its description in RNAcentral is "partial 16S ribosomal RNA". It matches the Rfam family "Bacterial small subunit ribosomal RNA", at positions 304 to 507 of the family's 1533-position model. The record is from RNAcentral. Lineage: Bacteria; Pseudomonadati; Chlamydiota; Chlamydiia; Chlamydiales.